UACGAAGGGUGCGAGCGUUAUUCGGAAUCACUGGGCGUAAAGGGUGCGUAGAUGGUAUGUUAAGUUCGUUGUUAAAGGCUCCGGCCUAACUGGAGUAUUGCAAUGAAAACUGGCGCACUAGAGGGUGAGAGAGAGAAGUGGAAUUCCCGGAGUAGCGGUAAAAUGCGUGGAUCUCGGGAGGAACACCAAUGGCGAAGGCAGCUUCUUGGCUCAUUCCUGACAUUGAGGCACGAAAGCGUGGGGAGCAAACAGG
RNAcentral lists this ribosomal RNA (253 nucleotides) under uncultured bacterium. Its description in RNAcentral is "partial 16S ribosomal RNA". It matches the Rfam family "Bacterial small subunit ribosomal RNA", at positions 524 to 776 of the family's 1533-position model. The record is from RNAcentral.